RNAcentral lists this ribosomal RNA (378 nucleotides) under uncultured eukaryote. RNAcentral's name for it is "partial 18S ribosomal RNA". It matches the Rfam family "Eukaryotic small subunit ribosomal RNA", at positions 592 to 975 of the family's 1831-position model. The record is from RNAcentral.
CAAUAGCGUAUAUUAAAGUUGUUGCAGUUAGAACGCUCGUAGUCGGAUUUCGGGGCGGGUCGACCGGUCUGCCGAUGGGUACGCACUGGCCGACGCGUCCUUCCUUCCGGAGACCGUCUCACUCUUAACUGAGCGGAGGCGGGAGACGGAACGUUUACUUUGAAAAAAUCAGAGUGUUUCAAGCAGGCAGCUCGCUCUUGCAUGGAUUAGCAUGGGAUAAUGAAAUAGGACUUUGGUGCUAUUUUGUUGGUUUCGAACACCGAAGUAAUGAUGAGAAGGGACAGUCAGGGGCACUCGUAUUCCGCCGAGAGAGGUGAAAUUCUCAGACCAGCGGAAGACGAACCACUGCGAANGNAUUUGCNAGGGAUGUUUNCACUG